Molecule: ribosomal RNA, 253 nt
Filed under: uncultured bacterium
Lineage: Bacteria
Description: partial 16S ribosomal RNA
Rfam family: Bacterial small subunit ribosomal RNA
Source: RNAcentral
UACGGAGGGUGCGAGCGUUGUCCGGAAUCACUGGGCGUAAAGGGCGCAUAGGCGGCGCGAGUAGUCAACGGUGAAAGCCCGGGGCUCAACCCCGGGUCGGCCGUCGAUACUCUCGUGCUUGAGCACUGUAGAGGCAGGUGGAAUUCCGGGUGUAGCGGUGGAAUGCGUAGAGAUCCGGAAGAACACCGGUGGCGAAGGCAGGUCUCUGGGCAUUAACUGACGCUGAGGAGCGAAAGCAUGGGGAGCGAACAGG